Bactrocera oleae (olive fruit fly) is the source of this 2285-nucleotide long non-coding RNA. RefSeq lists it as uncharacterized. The record is from RefSeq and is a predicted model, not a curated record. Lineage: Eukaryota; Metazoa; Arthropoda; Insecta; Diptera; Tephritidae.
UGGUGGUAGUUCAUUGUUUUGGUUGUCAUCUGUUCAGUGGCUCAUGAACUCGUGGUUUUUCUUGGCAGCACUGAAAGUUCAUGAGCUCUUUCAGAAGGCAAACAGAGGAGUUUCGAAUCAUUUUAUCUAUGAAUAUCAGUUUAUUAUUUUUCAUAGGAAAGUUUUAUGCUGAAGCAGCAAUAAUGAAAGUGAUAUUGUUUUCAAUAAAAUAUAAAAUAUUUGUAUAAUUGUUUUUAUCUAUCUAUAUAUAAAAAAAUGAAACCCGUUUCCCGUUGUCACGCCAUAACUUGAGAACGGCUAGACCGAUUUGGCUGUUGUUUUGUUUGUAGUUUUAUAAUACUCUGUAGAAGGUUAUUACGGAAAAAAAUAUUAAGAAAAUGUCUCAGAAAGAUUGAAAAAAUACAUUUAAUUUUGCAUAUUUUAAAAAAUACGCGCAACGAAUGUCAUCGUCAUUCACAGCCAUAGACUAUAUUGAAAGAGCAUCGUUUGUUCGGAAAUGUGGUUACAUAAUUGAAUUCUAUCGCACUAAUUUACUAAUUUUUGAAAAUUACUCCCCACAAUUAAAUGUACCGACUUUGACGGUAAUAUCAGAGAUCGUAUAUUAUAGAGAAGGUUCAAUUGCGGACCAGCGUGUGAAUUAUGAUAUACGUUCUCUGUUAAUAAUACCAGUGAUGACAUUUUAAUUUUGAUUUUCGUUUUUAAAAAUACCACCAGCAGACGUACAAACUUAGACCGCAGAACUCGAAAUACUGCAAGUCAAAGAUAUAUUAAGAGCAAUUCAAACAAUUUUACUGUAUUGAAUAGUAUGUAAUUAAUGUAUAACUUAGCCACAGCAACGCGUGGGCGGGGUCCUCUAGUAUAAAAUAAAAUUGGUAGCAAAUAUAUGUGUCUAAUUAUAUUAUGUCAUCCUUGGCCGAGAAGAUGUUAAUAACAAUGACGGGGUGCGACUACGUCAACAAGCGAAGAAAACAGUGGAAAACAAUGUUCUCGAAAAUCGUCGAAUGGAUCGAUGGACGGAUGUUUUGGACAUGAAACGUGUGGCAGCGAAGUUUGUUCCGAAAUUGGUUAAUUUUGAGAAUCAUAACCAGGCUGCCAGAUGAGCCAAGACCGAAAAAGGCACGUUCGAUCAAAUGUGAAAGUUUUGCUCACUGUUUUCUUUGAUUACAAUUGUGCGGUGGUAAUAAGGAAUAAUACAAGGAAGGUAUACAACGUUUACGUGAAGCAAUACGGCUCAAACAAUCGGAAUUGUGUUAAAACACAUCGUGGAUUCUGCAUCACGAUAAUGCACCAGCUCACACAGCAAUGCUUAUUCGUGAUUUUAUGGCCUGUAAUCAUGCAUCAACCACCGUAUUCACCAGAUUUGGCUCCCUUCGACUUUUUCGUAUUCCAAAAACUGUUGAAAAUGAAAGGAAAGCGUUAUGCCACAAUUGAUGAGAUCGAGUCAGAAUCGAAGAAAGAGCUGAUGGCCAUACCGAAAAGCGCAUUUGUAGUAAAACAUAGUUUGUAAACAUUUUUGUAUUUUAAUUUUAUUCAUAUGCAGUUUUGUCUUUACACUUUGCAGAGAUUCACAUUUAAAGUUUUGUGUACAUGUAUUACAUAGAAUUGAGAAUAUUCCACAUAAUAGAGUAUUAAAUGUUAAGUAUUCGAAUGUUGCAAGUACAUUAUUCUGUAUGUCCUAAGUUAUGCACCUCAAAAAGAAGUAAAUAAUAUCGUUCGUAGCAAAAAUAAAUUGAAUGAUAUUUAGUCUUAUUUUAUAAAUGAAAACAAAAGUCAACAAAAAAGACAUAUAAACAUGUAAAUAAUCUCAUAUAAAAUUAAUCUUAUGAAAAUAAGUUUGUGAAUAAGCAAAUACAUAUCUUUGGUAUAUUAAGGAAAUAUGUAAGUAUGUGUAUAUAUAUAAACAAGCAAUAUACCGAUAAUAGAAAAAAAUUUAGUGAGAUUUGACACCGUGUGAGAUUUAAUUUUUUAAACACAGUAUAAAAAUGUUAUUUUCGCUUUGACUUAUAUAAAUAUUAAAUGAUAAUUGCACAAAAAUAGUCAACUCUUAAUUUUUUGGAAUAAAAUGUCUGUGUUGAGUAUUUAAUCUACAUCUUAAUAAAUAUAUUAUUAUUUAAGCAAAAAUUAUAUGUAAACAAAAGCGAGCUUUUAUCUGUGUGAAGUCUUUGGUUAAGGUUAGUCGGCAAGAAUCUGACUUCUAAUUUAUAAAUUUCAACGAUAUUUCAAAUAUCAUUGGUUUUUUUUUGUUCAUGACAAAAUGAUACUACAAUACAUGACUUGCAUCAGUA